UACGUAGGGUGCGAGCGUUGUCCGGAAUUACUGGGCGUAAAGGGCGCGUAGGCGGCUUGACAAGUCACUUGUGAAAUCUCCGGGCUUAACUCGGAACGGCCAAGUGAAACUGUCAUGCUAGAGUGCAGAAGGGGCAAUCGGAAUUCUUGGUGUAGCGGUGAAAUGCGUAGAUAUCAAGAGGAACACCUGAGGUGAAGACGGGUUGCUGGGCUGACACUGACGCUGAGGCGCGAAAGCCAGGGGAGCAAACGGG
This 253-nucleotide ribosomal RNA is filed under the name uncultured bacterium. Its description in RNAcentral is "partial 16S ribosomal RNA". It matches the Rfam family "Bacterial small subunit ribosomal RNA", at positions 524 to 776 of the family's 1533-position model. The record is from RNAcentral.